This 30-nucleotide non-coding RNA is filed under the name Mus musculus (house mouse). Lineage: Eukaryota; Metazoa; Chordata; Mammalia; Rodentia; Muridae. The record is from RNAcentral.
UGUACUUAGGGCAUGAGCAUAAUGCUUGUU